This 773-nucleotide ribosomal RNA is filed under the name uncultured Synechococcus sp. RNAcentral's name for it is "partial 16S ribosomal RNA". It matches the Rfam family "Bacterial small subunit ribosomal RNA", at positions 1 to 809 of the family's 1533-position model. The record is from RNAcentral. Lineage: Bacteria; Bacillati; Cyanobacteriota; Cyanophyceae; Synechococcales; Synechococcaceae.
GGCCGCGGGAAUUCGAUUAGAGUUUGAUCCUGGCUCAGGAUGAAACGCUGGCGGUCGGCCUAACACAUGCAAGUCGAACGAAGUCUUCGGACUUAGUGGCGGACGGGUGAGUAACACGUGAGAACCUGCCCUGUGGAGGGGGACAACCGUUGGAAACGACGGCUAAUACCCCAUACGCCCUCGGGUGAAAGCUUUUGCGCCAGAGGAGGGGCUCGCGGUCGAUUAGCUAGUUGGUGGGGUAACGGCCUACCAAGGCAGCGAUCGAUAGCUGGUCUGAGAGGACGAGCAGCCACACUGGGACUGAGACACGGCCCAGACUCCUACGGGAGGCAGCAGUGGGGAAUUUUCCGCAAUGGGCGCAAGCCUGACGGAGCCAGACCGCGUGCGGGAAGACGGCCCUUGGGUUGUAAACCGCUUUUCUCAGGGAAGAAGUCAGUGACGGUACCUGAGGAAUCAGCCUCGGCUAACUCCGUGCCAGCAGCCGCGGUAAUACGGAGGAGGCAAGCGUUAUCCGGAAUUAUUGGGCGUAAAGCGUUCGCAGGCGGCUUGGCAAGUCUGCUGUCAAAUCCCGCGGAUCAACCGCGGAUCGGCAGUGGAAACUGUCAGGCUAGAGUUCGGUAGGGGUAGGGGGAAUUCCCAGUGUAGCGGUGAGAUGCGUAGAUAUUGGGAAGAACACCAGUGGCGAAAGCGCCUUACCGGACCGCCACUGACCCUCAGGAACGAAAGCAAGGGGAGCGAAAGGGAUUAGAUACCCCUUAGUCCAGCCGAAACGA